CGGGGUGUAGUAUAACGGCAGUAUACAGGCUUCGGGAGUCUGUGGUCUGGGUUCAAUUCCCAGCACCCCGACAA
Molecule: transfer RNA, 74 nt
Filed under: Parcubacteria group bacterium
Lineage: Bacteria
Description: tRNA-Pro
Rfam family: tRNA
About the family: Transfer RNA (tRNA) molecules are approximately 80 nucleotides in length. Their secondary structure includes four short double-helical elements and three loops (D, anti-codon, and T loops).
Source: RNAcentral